UUGGGCGAAGCCUGAUCAGCCUGCCGCGUGUGUGAAGAAGGUCUUCGGAUUGUAAAGCACUUUAAGUUGGGAGGAAGGGUUGUAGAUUAAUACUCUGCAAUUUUGACGUUACCGACAGAAUAAGCACCGGCUAACUCUGUGCCAGCAGCCGCGGUAAUACAGAGGGUGCAAGCGUUAAUCGGAAUUACUGGGCGUAAAGCGCGCGUAGGUGGUUUGUUAAGUUGGAUGUGAAAUCCCCGGGCUCAACCUGGGAACUGCAUUCAAAACUGACUGACUAGAGUAUGGUAGAGGGUGGUGGAAUUUCCUGUGUAGCGGUGAAAUGCGUAGAUAUAGGAAGGAACACCAGUGGCGAAGGCGACCACCUGGACUAAUACUGACACUGAGGUGCGAAAGCGUGGGGAGCAAACAG
RNAcentral lists this ribosomal RNA (409 nucleotides) under uncultured bacterium. RNAcentral describes it as "bacterial SSU rRNA". It matches the Rfam family "Bacterial small subunit ribosomal RNA", at positions 371 to 775 of the family's 1533-position model. The record is from RNAcentral.